RNAcentral lists this long non-coding RNA (245 nucleotides) under Phoenix dactylifera (date palm). Its description in RNAcentral is "long non-coding RNA (PDAC_LNC009218)". The record is from RNAcentral. Lineage: Eukaryota; Viridiplantae; Streptophyta; Magnoliopsida; Arecales; Arecaceae.
UAUCUACCCCGUUCUCAUUCACAUCACAUGCAAACGGCACAUCGCAGGCAGUUAUAAUCGCAGCAAUAAUUAAAGCUAAACUUUAAAUAGGUGAUGAUCAUGGAUUCUAAUUAGGUCAUAUUACAAGCACAUGCACGUCAAUCGAUCAGUUGGUGUUCAACUCUUGAAUUGGUUCCAAGCCUCCUUGAUUCGAUCCUUGAUCAACUCUUGAUCCUAUCGCCAUCAACCGCUCAGAUCGCCGUUCA